ACACGUGAUUCAGAGUUUGAUCCUGGCUCAGGACGAACGCUGGCGGCGUGCUUAACACAUGCAAGUCGAACGAUGACGGUGGUGCUUGCACCACCUGAUUAGUGGCGAACGGGUGAGUAACACGUGAGUAACCUGCCCCCCACUUCGGGAUAACCUCGGGAAAUCGUGGCUAAUACCGGAUAUGAGCACUCAUCGCAUGGUGGGUGUUGGAAAGAUUUAUCGGUGGGGGAUGGACUCGCGGCCUAUCAGUUUGUUGGUGAGGUGAUGGCUCACCAAGACGAUGACGGGUAGCCGGCCUGAGAGGGCGACCGGCCACACUGGGACUGAGACACGGCCCAG
Molecule: ribosomal RNA, 339 nt
Filed under: uncultured bacterium
Lineage: Bacteria
Description: bacterial SSU rRNA
Rfam family: Bacterial small subunit ribosomal RNA
Source: RNAcentral